This 988-nucleotide unclassified non-coding RNA is filed under the name Hevea brasiliensis (rubber tree). The record is from RNAcentral. Lineage: Eukaryota; Viridiplantae; Streptophyta; Magnoliopsida; Malpighiales; Euphorbiaceae.
AAAGCUUCCCACACCAAUCAAAUUCUCCACAGAGAACCCAUUUGUUGCCUUGAAAAUCCUUCUAUAUGAAAAUUGCUGCGAUGACUUUUCUAGGGAGGAACUAGGAGAUUCCUCUCUUUUCUUAUGUCUGAACCAGUAACACAAAAAGGCUGACAUGAUGGUCACAACAAAAACACAUGAUAUUACUAUUGCAAUUGUUUUAACAAGAUGUAACUUGCUUCGCUUUGAUACAUGAUUGAUGCAUCUUGACAGUUUGAGUUCUGGUAUAUCCCCACAAAGCCUGUUGUUACCUUCAAUUGAUAUUGCACUUGCAUUUGCAAAAACACCUUUGCUAGGAACCUCGCCCUCCAAAUUAUUGAAAGACAAAUUCAGAUAUUCUAGCUUAAAGUUCACAAAGUACUCUGGAAUUUUGCCAGAUAUAUUAUUUGCGGACAAAUCUAAACGUCUAAGACCUUUUAAGGAUUCAAAUGAUGUGGGUAUGGUACCUUGAAAAUUGUUAUCAUCCAUGACAAGAUAUUCAAGGCUAUUACACUUUCCAAGGUCAUACGGAAUACUGCCAGACAAGUUGUUUUGGAAAAUAACCAAUUCAUUCAAAUGUAGUAAAUUGCCAAUUUGAGAAGGAAGGGAUCCAACCAAAUGAUUUUGAGAAAAAUCUAUUGAAACUAGCACAUUCGGGACAGCAAAAAGUUGGUUGGAUAUGGGGCCAUUGAGAUUGUUUUGAGAAAGGUCGAUGAAUAGCAAGUUUUGGCAAUUUCCAAGGCUAGAAGGAAUGGUACCUUGCAGUUUGUUACCUUGCAAAUGAAGUAGGGUCAAUAACGAUAAGUUUCCCAAGGAUGAAGGAAUCUUUCCGGAUAGUCUAUUGUGGCCAAGAAACAUUUGUUGCAAUUUUUGAAGCUUACCAAAUUCCAUGGGAAUAGUGCCCGUGAUUUGAGUCUCUUCUAUACCCAUCACCGAUAAACUAUCAAGAGUUGAAAACCAUGGAGGGAUA